This 495-nucleotide ribosomal RNA is filed under the name uncultured bacterium. RNAcentral describes it as "bacterial SSU rRNA". It matches the Rfam family "Bacterial small subunit ribosomal RNA", at positions 28 to 507 of the family's 1533-position model. The record is from RNAcentral.
GAUGAACGCUAGCGGCAGGCUUAAUACAUGCAAGUUGAGGGGCAGCAUGAUAUACGCGAGUAUAUUGAUGGCGACCGGCGGACGGGUGAGUAAUAGGUAGGAGACCUACCUCAUACAGGGGGAUAGCAUAGAGAAAUCUGUGGUAAUACCCCAUGAGGUUAUAUGAAUAGAGGCAUAUAAUCAAAGCAUAAGCGAUUAUGCGGUAUGAGAGGGGCCUACUGACCAUUAGCUAGUUGGUGAGGUAAGGGCUCACCAAGGCGAAGAUGGUUAGGGGUUUUGAGAGAGAGACCCCCCACAUUGGAACUGAGAGACGGUCCAGACUCCUACGGGAGGCAGCAGUAGGGAAUAUCGGGCAAUGGGCGAAAGCCUGACCCAGCCAUGCCGCGUGAAGGAAGACGGCCUUAUGGGUUGUAAACUUCUUUACUACGCGAAUAGAGGUUAGUACGAGAUACUAAUAGGAAGGUAGUGUAGUAAAAAGCACCGGCUAACUCCGUG